AGCAGCAUAACAUAUGAAACCCAAAAAAGGAGCAGUCAACCAACUGUAGCAACCCAGCAAGCAAACUAGGCGUCAGCCCAGGGCAGCAAUAGCCCAUGCCCAUAUACCACAAACUGUCGAGAAACAGCAGCAACACUGCCCAGGGACCAUUUUAGCAGACAUCACACAACUAGCCAGAACCCUAAAACAAAUUUGUUGUAAGCCCAACCAAAAGCAUUCCAUAUCAAAUAACUAUUUUCAAUCUGCAACUUUCAUCCCACACUCCAAACUACAACAGAAAAUGAAAACCACCAGCUGCAGCAGCAGCCCAUCGACCAACAGCCCAUGCCCAUGCUGCAGAGAACUAUAACAUUCCUUUCAGUACAUUCACAACCACUGAAAAAUAACAAAACAGACAUAACAGACCCAACAAAAAUAUGUCCUAGGUUCAAACAUUGUUUAAAGAAAGAUGUCUAAAACCAUAUCUUGCUUUAACUUUUUGGAAUUUUGCAUUUGUAUGAAGCUUACAUUUAAGCAUGUGUAAGAUGUCAGAGACAAGGUUCCGAGCAGAGCAAAAUUUUUGACUAAAUAUCAUCGCAUUCCAUUCAUUCCGAAUACGGUAAACAACCGCAGCGAACCCAAGAUGAAGCAGACUGUGAUGAAAAUUUGGACUAGAAUAAUGGAUGAGGUAGCCCGUUAUAGAACUCUAGCUCCUACUAAAAUCCCUCCACCCACAAUGUCUAAGAAUAGAUAGAAGGACCCUAAAAGAGUAAUCUCAUUGAAAGAAUAGGUGUUCAAAAGUUUCUGAUUGAGAUGAACAAAGAACACAAGAAGAGUUAACAAGCAUCCCAAAACUGAUCAACCUGUCCAUUGUACGCAACCCACGGUGAAAAGCCAACUAGAGGGUAAAACAAAAUCUUGGGAUCAAAACCUUAUGCCACACUAACUUGUCCCAAAGGACAAGUUAGUCAUAGAGGCUUUAACCUCAUUAGACUUCGCAGUGUCCCAGAAAAUCUCAUCAGGCCGAGAUGAGUCAUAGAGCCUAUUAUGAUCAAAAGAAUCCCGAAAGACAGUAAAAUCAUAAUGGUUGGAUAAAGGGAGGUACCAAGAUCUAAUAAUACCACUCACAGUAGCAUUUAGGCCCAAACUAGAAUUGAUGAUCAGAGAAGAAUGGGAACUAGACGCCAGGGGGAUCACAUUAAGUCAAGGAUCAAACCACAAGCUAGUAUUAUCCCCAUUUCCAAUAUGAAUAAAUAUACUUAAUAGCAAGAGAUCUCAACUGCAGUACCUUUCUCCAUAUCCAUGAACAGUCAUUUGGAAUCUUCAAUGCCCAAAAGUGGUUUGAUUUUAAAUGAUUAUCUCUUACCCAUAAAGCCCAAAGAGACUGGGGGUUAGGAUUUACCACUCUCCAUAGUUGCAGCAAAAUCAGAGCUUUAUUCCAAUCCUCCAAUUGCUUGAUAGCUAAACCACCUUCGGAAUACGGUAAAGUAAUUUUGCUCCAUGCAACUUUGGCCCCAAACUUCAACAUAGAGAGACCUUUACAUAAAAAUCUGCUAAUAGUGGACUUAAGAUCUUUAAGCACAACCGCUGGAAGAAUGAAUGAGCAGACCAAUACGAUUGGAUAACAAAGACAACCGAUUUAAUAAGUUACAAUCGUCCAGCAUAAGAGAGAAACUUAUUAGUCCAUGAAGUAAUUUUGGUUUUAACCUUUUCUAAGAGAGGAUGGCAAUCAGCAAGGCUAAGCUUCGAGGUGAUCAAAGGGACCCCCAUGAAUUUUGCAGGGAACCGUCCCACUUGAAAUCCCAGAAUAUUGAAAAUGACCUUAGCAGGAGCAGAAGAUACACUGGAGAGAAAACAAAUACUCUUUGAAUCAUUUAUGUGUAAACCCGAGAAGGACGUGAAAAGAUCUAAACAAUGUUUGAAAACCUUGAACCGAGUUCACAUCACCAUGACAGAAGAUAAGCAAAUCAUCAGCAAAACAUAGGUGGGAUAAAGAAAGAGACUUUGUUUUCCAAUGAUGCUUGAAAAAAGGUGACCUUGUUUCCUUUGAUAGAAUAAGAGAAAGGACUUCCAUAGCAAUAACAAAAAGAUAUGGAGAAAGAGGGUCCCCUUGACGUAAACCCUUGGUCCCUUUAAAAUACCCACAAAGGGCACCAUUCACUCUAACUAAGUAUGAAGAGUAAAUGAACUUGGGGGGAAAUUUGAAAAGUUGCAUAGCAGCAAGCAUGAAAUCCUAGGAGACCGAAUCAAAAGCCUUACGGAGAUCAAUUUUCAUUGCACACCUAGAUUGGCCAGAGGGCCUAUGGUAGUUCCUGAAUAACUCUUGAGCCAGCAGGAUAUUAUCACCUAUCCUCUUGCCCGGAACAAAAGAAGACUGACUAGGAGAGAUUAUGGUAGGGAGGAUACCCUUGAGCCUGACAGCAAUAAUCUUCAAAAUGCACUUGUAAGUUGUGUUACAACAAGAAAUAGGUCGAUAAUCAGUCAUAGAUAUACGAUUAAGCAUCUUAGGGACGAGCAAUGACAGUAGAGUUAGUACCCUAGAGAAGGCAACACUAUUUGAAAAAAGAUUGGAUGGCCAAAGUAAAAUCACUACUAACAAUGUCCCAAACAAGGAGGAAAAAAAUUCACAUUGAAACCAUCAGGACCAGGACUCUUGUUUUUCUUCAUAGACUUCAAAGUUGUCAAGAUUUCAUGUUCAUAGAUGUCUCUCUUAGUCAAAGAGCCUUGAAGAUCAUAAACAAAUUUAGGAGCAGCAUGGUCCAAUAAAUAGGACUCCCCCACCAUAGAAGGAGAACCAAGCAAGGAACGAAAGUGGCCAAGCGCAAUAUUUUGAAUAUCCUUAUGUCCGGUACAAAUAGUACCUGCCUCAUUUUCGAUAGCAAUAAUUUUGUUUUGAUUUCAUCUGUUCUUAAUUUAAUUUUAGAAAUAGCCUGAAUUGUUAUCCCCAUCCUUAAGCCAUUGGACUCUAGAUUUUUGCCUAAGUAACUUCUCUUCACAGCUAAGGGCAUACCUCAAAUUUUUAGAAUGAAGCCUUUGAGCCUUUAGUAGAGAAAGAUCAGUGGGAUAAGAGGAAAUAACAUUCUAAGUAUCAUGGAGGAUGGCUCUAGCCUUAUCCACAUUUGAUGUAAUAUUACCAUUAUCUUUGUUUAGAGUGGAAAGAGCCCGUUUGACUGACCUAAGCUUACUAGCUAAAACCUGAAGCGGAUCCCCAAGAAUAAAUAUAUUCCAAGCAAACUAAACAACCUCAUGAAAAUUUCCAAGCUCGCCCAGGAUGUUGAAAAAGUGGAAAGGUUUGGGAACUCUAGGCAAGGACAUACCAGUUUGUACCACCACCAGACAAUGAUCCGGAAGAUCAGGAGGAGUGAACAUAACCUGAGAAUCAUGGAACUGAUGCAACCAAUCACAGUUAACCAUAACCUUAUCAAGCUUUUUUAAUUGGGGUUUAGUGUCACUAGAAUUCCACCAAGUGUACAUUGGCCCAACCGCACGAAGAUCAGACAAGAGCAAGUCAGUAGUAUAGUCCAGGAAGUCCUGCAUACCCCCAUUCCAGGAUUCUACACCUCCCAAAAUUUUAGUAACAGACAGAACCUCGUUAAAAUCCCCUAGCAGACACCAAGGAAGAUUGAUAGAUUGACAUAAUGAACGAAGAUCAAUCCAAAGAGCUUUCCUCUCAGAAGGAGUAUUUAAACCAUAAACAAAAGUGACAAAGAACUGCUUGGUAGAAGCAACGAAAAAAACUAAGUAAUGCAUAUAUUGAGAAGAUUUAGAAAUAAUAUUUACAGUCCAAAGUGAAGGGUCCCAACCAACCCAGAUUCUCUCAUUCACAUGAUGCUCAUAAUUAAACUGCCAAUUCCAUUUACUACAUAUGGCUUUGGAAACAGUAUUGGCUUUUGGGCAUUUGACUAUAGUCUCAACUAGGCCAACAAAAGAAAUUUUAUGCUUACACAAAAGAGUAAGGACACUCUCCUGCUUGGACUUCAUAUAUACACUUCUAAUAUUCAUAGAGCAAAAAUUAACCAUAAAAAAAAGUUAGGGUUAGGGUGGGGCAGGCCUCCCCCCGCCUUUGAUAUUAUUCUUUGAAGACUGGCCAAGUUCCAAACCAGCUCGAGCUUUCGCCUUAAGAUCAUGGUCUGCCUUUUCAUCAAUCAUUUUUAGCUUUCCCACAAGGGGAUUUGAAGGGGAAUAGUCAGUGUCAGAAAAGCCCUCCAAAGCCUCCCCAGCAGCAACAAUAGGCAUGAAAACAUUGGAGUUACCAAUCAAAGAGGGAUCACUAUAUGAAACAUGCUUUUUUGGGCCUUUAGCCACCAGAGUCCAGUUUUCAGAGGAAUUAUCAGUAUCAGUAAAGGAUUUAGGGAUAUCAGAAGUAGAAAUAGAAGCUAUAGGGGCAGCAGCCUUAUAAUCUUCAGAAGCUUUUUGGACUUUAGGUAGCCAUUUGUAAUUUUCUUUAGGACAACGCAGAAGAGAGUGCCCAAAAGUUUUACAAUGAGAACAGAUUUGGGGUCUAUUUUGGUACUCCACUUUGACGUUAACAUUCUUUUCAGAAUUAGACUCCUCAUCAAGAACAACCACUUCUAGAGUGUUAGGCCAAGCCGAAGAAUGUGUUAAUUCAACACAAAUCCUAGCAAAAUUCAUAGGUUCUAAUUUUUCUGUGAUCUUAUCCAUAAACAGUGGAACACCAACCCCACUAGCAAGGUAACUAAGCCCAGCUGAAGACUAAUAAGAGAUGAGGAUGUUAUGGAAUUUAACCCAGACAGGAGCUUUUGCACAAGAGUCAAAAUGAAAGUCCAUACCUUUUUUUUUCUAAUUGGUUUGUAUAAAAAGAACACAAGAAAUACAAUGGCAGAGGGGCAUACCCAGUCUAUAGUUAGUUCAUUUAUUGACAGGUCAAUAGAGGAAAAUACUAUAAGAGCAGAGACAUGCUAAUUACAGUGGCAGUGGCAACACAAUCAGUUACAAUAGCCAGGUAUAAAAAUAUUGACAGAAGUUUGUAGCCUUUAAAAAAGAAUUACACGUUGAUAGUCUAGACUUUAUAAUAUUUAUAACAUCCUUUGCCAGAGCUUGUGGGGGAAUAAUGGUGUUCCUGUGUAUCUUAGCAUUGUGUGCCUCCAAAAUUUUGUAGAAAGAAACUGCAAGAGUUAGGCACAGAAUGUUUAUGGACAUCGUUGUUCCUUGGAAGGAAGAUAUGUAGUCCAAGAUAUCAGCCCUAUUGUUAGAGAUACUAUUCUACUAGCCCAAAUCCAUAGCACUACAAAAAAUAAAUCUAGAGUACUCAUAAAAAAAGAACAGAUGUUCAAAGGAUUCAUUGUGGGUUUGACAAAGCUGACAUAACAACCUGCUGCCCGUAUAAAGGAUCGUUCUAUCAUUAGUGGGAAGUCUCUUUAAAAUACCAAGCCAAAGGAUAAAAGAGUACCUAGGAACAUGAAAUUUAUUCCAAGGAAUAAAUCCCCAGGAAACAGGUUGCUUCCUUGCUUGGAUGGAAUCCCAAAUGUGCUUUGCUUUGAUACUGGAGAUGUCGAAUGAGUCCCAAAGGAGACAGUCAGCAGAAGAGGAAGGAGUUGGAAGGGCUUCAAUCGUUCAUCUAAAAAGGAUGACCUCAUGAUGGUUGCUGCGAGGGAGGGUCCAAGAAUUAGCUUGAAUGAUGUAACUGCCUUUAGCAGUGGGUGGUAAGCCAAUAUUCUGAAGCAGAAUGGGACUGGGGUUGAUAGUCGUCCCGUGCACCCAUGGAUUAAACCAGAGAUUUAUUAUAUCACCCCUUCCAACAUGAUAAACGAUAUGUUCUAGAGCCAAGGGCCGUAGUUUUAGUACCUGCCGCUAUAUCCAAGAACAGUUCAGAGGUAUAGGAAUUUACCAAAUUGAUCUAUCCCUGAGGAUGGUCACUUUGGCUCAAGCUGCCCAAAGGGAGGAAGGUUGGAAUUGAAUAAGUUUCACCAAGUGCAGCAAGAUGAGAGACCCGUUCCAAUCUAGGAUGCUCUUAAGGCCCAACCCUCCUUCAAAGGUAGGGAGGAACAUAUCAGACCAAGCAACUUUGGCCCCAUGUUUUACAAGCAAGGAACCCUUCCAUGAAGUCCAAGAAGAGACACGUUGGGUUACUUUGUGAAUUAAGGGGAUGUAGUCAUUGAAAGAAAGUUUAGAGGAUAUCAAGGGUACACCCAUAAACUUGGUAGGCAGGAGGCCAGGUUGGAAUCCCAGAAUAGAGUGGAUGCGAGAAGAGGUAGUAGGGUCAGUAUUAGCCAGAAAGUAAUGGCUUUUUUGGACAUUAGGGAUCAACCCAGAGAAAAGCGAGAAGGAUUGAAUACAAGAGGAAAUGAUUGAGAUAGAAGGUAUGCAAGCAUGAGAGAAAAUGAGGAUAUCAUCAGCGAAAAUGAGGUGUGUUAGCUUAAACUCGUUUAUUCUCCAAUGAAAUUUGAAAUUGGGUUCCAUAGAGAUCAAAGAUAAUUUAAGGGACAUCAUUUCCAUGAUGAGAACAAAGAGAUAAAGGGAGAGAGGGUCUCCUUGUCUGAGUUCAUGAGAACUGGGAAAAUAACCAGCUAAAGACCCAUUGAUUUUGAUAGAGAACAUGGGAGCAGAAACACAGGCUUUUAUCCAAGCCAUAAAAAGAGGAUGGAAUUUGAAGAGGGAAAGGAUAUCAAAUAAAAAGUCCCACCUGACAGUGUCGAAUGCCUUCCUUAAGUCAAUUUUUUGAGCACAUCUUAAAGGACCAGAGGGGCGAUGAUAAUUCCUUAGCAAGUCCUGAGCAAUAAGAAUAUUAUCACUAAUACUACGACCCUUGAUGAAGGCAGACUGAGCUUUGUCAUUGAGAGAGGGAAGAACUACUUUGAGUCGAUUUGCUAGGAUCUUGGUAAUACAUUUGUAAAUGGUAUUACAGCAGGAAAUAGGUUUAAAAUUAGCCAUGGAGGAAGGAUUUGUAGAUUUAGGGAUCAGGGCUAAAGCUGUGGAGUUUAUCCCCUUAGGCAUCUUACAAGAGGAGAAGAAGAAUUGAACAGCCUUAGUGAAGUCCUCGCCCACAAUAUCCCAGCAAGAGAUGAAGAAGCUCACAUUAAAAAAUCACCCCCCUAGCUUUUAUUUCUUUUCAUGGAGUGUAACUAAAUGGAUUUUUUUUCUUUCAUUGCNNNNNNNNNNNNNNNNNNNNNNNNNNNNNNNNNNNNNNNNNNNNNNNNNNNNNNNNNNNNNNNNNNNNNNNNNNNNNNNNNNNNNNNNNNNNNNNNNNNNAUUUUACUAAUACAAGUAAAUAUAUCCUAAUAUUAUCUACUAAACAAACUAAUUACAUUGAAAUCACCCAUAAAUAAUAAAUAUAUAAUAAUAACCUAAUGUUAUUAAAUUUCUUUUGCUUCCAUCCUCAUCAAAACCUUUGCAAGUUUGAUAAGAAGCACUUUAUGGACAUGUAUGGGCUUCACUUGAGAUUGCCAUUUUGAGCAACUUGAUGUAAAUUAGUUUAGUGUGUUUUCUUUGUUCCCUUCUGACUGUAUUUUUGUCUUUAGUUACAUUUUAUUUCCAAUCUAAGGGCUAUAGUAUGCACCCAUGACACUUUUGCUUUUCUUUUACCUUGUGACUUAAUUACCUUGUUCUAUUUCUGACUUUCAUUUUUCUCUUUCCAUAAUAUGAUUUCUAAAGCUUACAUUAAAAACUAUUGUAGUUGUAAGAUUUCUUUUUUCCUGGUUUUGUUGCAGAAUUCAUGCAUUCUUGUAGUUCAUGUUGAUCUUCUAUUUUCUACCAUCAAGUAUGAUCCUAAUGGUUUGGUGGAUUAAUAUCUGUGGUGUAACUAAAUGGACUAUUUUUUUUCUUUCAUUGCUUGUACCCAUUUUACCCUUUAUAUAUUUUUUUCUCCUUAACUUUGCCGUGCUGAUCAAGAUAUUAGUAGAUUCAUCAACAAGAGAACUAUUUCGGGGGAAAAAGAAAGUGCCUGUAUUGGUGUUGCAACUUCGAACUGUUGAAGCAUAUAACUAAGUUUUCGAAGGUUUUGGAGUUUAAAAUCAGGGAGAACAGAAAAGAAGAGAAAAUGAACUUAGUACUUGCUUUGGAGUUUUUUUAGGAGAGAAAAGAAAGAAAGUUAGAGAAAAAAUGCCCUUUUUUUCUUCCCAAAGUUCUCUUCUCAAAAUUGAGAAGAUUUGAAGAGAAGAGAAAACUUGGUUUAGUAAUAACUUCAUAAUACCAGUUUUACCCUUCAAUUUAUAAUUGUACUAAAUUUAUUUCCACUCAUAUCCUCUUUAGGGUUAAUUAUAACUCAUUAACAUCAGACACAUAUCUCAAGCCUCUUCUUCAUCGAAAAUCUCUCACCUGGCAGUUGCUUGUUGUGGCAUCUACAACUCUCUAUUGUUAUGUUGGCGUCGCAGAUAAAUACAGCCAUUGACGCCUAUUUCUUUUUUUUUAAUUGGUCUCUCUGCUCCUUCAAAUUAUCUUUGAUCUCCCUCUUUAAAACCUGAUUUCCCUCCUGAUAUACUUUUACUACUAACUCAUAUAUUCAAUUUAUGUUCUUCAAUCAAAAGUUUAUUCCAGUUCUGUUUAUUAUGAUAUGAUUAGUUUAUAUAAUUGCUUCUCAUCUUAGGAAUCUUCUUGUUAUAGAAAGUUAUUUGGUCAAAUACAUUUCCUUUUACUUUAUAUGGUACAUAUAUUUUCAUUCGGGGAUUGUCUAUAGAAUAUAGGUGAAUCUGUGAUUUUGUCUAUAUUAUGAUUUUUUUUUCUAUAUUCAUGUAUGAGCAGUCAAUUUCCUUGAUAAAUCUUAACUAUGUGCAUCAUUCGGAAGAAAUUAGUUUAUAUUAAUAUAUUGUAUUCUUAACCAUCACAAUCGAAUACACAGUUGAGUCAUGCUCUUUCAAAGGUUUUUCAAUUUCAUUUUAGUAAUAUGAACAAUGGUCUUGUUGAAUUUUUUUUUUAAAACAUAUCUUCAUUAUAUUAAAAACUAAAAAGACUUGAAAGUCCAUACCUUCCUUCCAUUGUUUGAGACAUAUCUGUUUAUUUGAUAUAUACCAAGGGCCAAGAGCAAGCACAUUCUCACGGUCCUCAGGCUUAGCGAAUUUGAAGACAAAAAUCCCACCCUCUUGCAGGAACACACUUUGCAGGCCAUAUUUAUCCCAUAAUUUAUGUAUAUUAUCUCAAGUUUAAACGGCAGUUUGGAGUGCAAAAAAGUCGUCCAUCAGACAAGUGUUCCACAGAUUAUUACCUUGAAGAAGAAUCUCAGAUAGAGGUCGAAUCAGGAUGGACCCACUAUCCGUGCUAGGUGGAGAGAGAGGAAAGAAAUCAAGCUUCAGUGAGGGAGCAGCCUGGGCCACUACCUUGCUCCAUGUUUUCUCUAUUGGGAUGCACGCAGUCCAAGAAGAUCAGGGCAGUACAGCCAGACCCAGUGGUGACCCAAAAAUUUGCAGGGCCCUACAUUCCCCUUCUUCAAAAACAGACUCAACACCUGCCAAAAUCGGUUGUUGAACGGCUCCACUCUGAGCCAAAGCCGAAAAAGACGACUCUGCCAAAGAUGGUUUCAGUGGACUUUUAUCAAACAGGUCAUGGUCAUUAACUGAACGAACAGAUUUCCCUUUGUUGGAGAAUUCAUUCACAUUGUGCAUAGAAAACCCUUUAGCUUUGAUAAAAUCCAUAAGCAAGGAGCAUUUCCUACACUCAUCAGCCGCAUCAAUAUUACCCUGCUGCGAAAGAGCCUGUGUAGCUCUAAAAAUUUCCUUCAUGGAGAUACCAUCUUGUAAACCUAGGCUGACAUCAGCAAGGCUAUUAGCUUCAGAAGCUUAAAAGCUAUCAGACACGAUAACAACAACAGUUGGAACCAAAGAGGAUUCAACCAUUGUAGAAUCGCCAAUGACCGACGAGUUAGGGCAUGAAACCCCAAACUCAGAAAACAUAUCCCGUACACUACUAAUGGAAUUACCAGCCAAAAGGUGAGAGAAACUCACCAUGGUGAAGGAGAAAGAAAGAAGGAAGACAAUUGAUAUGGAGACUUUCUCGUAG
This 9927-nucleotide long non-coding RNA is filed under the name Panax ginseng (ginseng). RNAcentral's name for it is "long non-coding RNA (PGIN_LNC003026)". Lineage: Eukaryota; Viridiplantae; Streptophyta; Magnoliopsida; Apiales; Araliaceae. The record is from RNAcentral.